AUUGAACGCUGGCGGCAGGCCUAACACAUGCAAGUCGAGCGAGCGGCGGACGGGUGAGUAAUGUCUGGGAAACUGCCUGUGGGAGGGGGCGAACUACAGGAAACGGUAGCUCAUAACGCAUACCAGCUGACGUGCCCCGAUGGGGUUAGCUAGUAGGUGGGGUAACGGCUCACCUAGGCGACGAUCCCUAGCCGGUCUGAGAGGAGGACCAGCCACACUGUAACUUAGACACGGUCCAGACUCCUACGGGAGGCAGCAGUGGGGAAUAUUGCACAAUGGGCGCAAGCCUGAUACAGCCAUGCCGCGUGUGUGAAGAAGGCUUUCGGGUUGUAAAGCCCUUUCAGCGGGGAGGCGUUACCCGCAGAAGAAGCACCGGCUAACUCCGUGCCAGCAGCCGCGGUAAUAC
Molecule: ribosomal RNA, 406 nt
Filed under: uncultured bacterium
Lineage: Bacteria
Description: partial 16S ribosomal RNA
Rfam family: Bacterial small subunit ribosomal RNA
Source: RNAcentral